Molecule: ribosomal RNA, 566 nt
Filed under: uncultured bacterium
Lineage: Bacteria
Description: bacterial SSU rRNA
Rfam family: Bacterial small subunit ribosomal RNA
Source: RNAcentral
UCCUACGGGAGGCAGCAGUGGGGAAUAUUGCACAAUGGGCGAAAGCCUGAUGCAGCAACGCCGCGUGCGGGAUGAAGGCCCUAGGGUUGUAAACCGCUUUCAGCAGGGAAGAAAAUGACGGUACCUGUAGAAGAAGGUGCGGCCAACUACGUGCCAGCAGCCGCGGUGACACGUAGGCACCAAGCGUUGUCCGGAUUUAUUGGGCGUAAAGAGCUCGUAGACGGUUCAGUAAGUCGGGUGUGAAAACUCUGGGCUCAACCCAGAGACGCCACCCGAUACUGCUGUGACUAGAGUGCGGUAGGGGAGCGGGGAAUUCCUAGUGUAGCGGUGAAAUGCGCAGAUAUUAGGAGGAACACCAGUGGCGAAGGCGCCGCUCUGGGCCGUAACUGACGCUGAGGAGCGAAAGCGUGGGUAGCAAACAGGAUUAGAUACCCUGGUAGUCCACGCCGUAAACGUUGGGCACUAGGUGUGGGUCUCAACCAACGAGAUCCGCGCCGUCGCUAACGCAUUAAGUGCCCCGCCUGGGGAGUACGGUCGCAAGGCUAAAACUCAAAUGAAUUGACGGA